Molecule: ribosomal RNA, 113 nt
Filed under: Amphilophus citrinellus (Midas cichlid)
Lineage: Eukaryota; Metazoa; Chordata; Actinopteri; Cichliformes; Cichlidae
Source: RNAcentral
UGUAGCCAAAAUACCCUGAACACGCCCAUCUCGUCUGAUCCUGGAAGCUAAGCAGGCUUGGGCCUGCUGGAAUUCCAACUGGGAAUACCAGGCACUGUAAGCUGUGGCUGUAG